CUCUGGAUUGAAGACUACUGAGAUCAAGAUAACAUUUACUGGUAUCAAGUGGGUCUUGGUUUUGACCAAGAAAACUGAACUCUUUUAUAUAGUUAGCUUUCAAUAGCCUUAUGUCUCUCUUAGGCCCUGAUGCAGAAACCCCUUCUUGUAAUUUCAAACAAACAGUCAAGGAAAUCUCAAGAACCAAAAAGAAAAAAAAAUCAAAUUAAGAGAUAAAAUUGCAGAAAAAAUCAAGGAUAUGAAGAACGAGGAUGUUGGAGGGUUUGUCAUAGGCGAUAACUUGAGCUUCAAACUCGUCACCUAAAGUAGUCUUGAUGGAUAAAGCGCAUCCAAUUGCGAAC
This 341-nucleotide long non-coding RNA is filed under the name Solanum melongena (eggplant). RNAcentral describes it as "long non-coding RNA (SMEL_LNC000087)". Lineage: Eukaryota; Viridiplantae; Streptophyta; Magnoliopsida; Solanales; Solanaceae. The record is from RNAcentral.